This 213-nucleotide ribosomal RNA is filed under the name uncultured Planctomycetales bacterium. Its description in RNAcentral is "partial 16S ribosomal RNA". It matches the Rfam family "Bacterial small subunit ribosomal RNA", at positions 455 to 667 of the family's 1533-position model. Lineage: Bacteria; Pseudomonadati; Planctomycetota; Planctomycetia; Planctomycetales. The record is from RNAcentral.
AAUAUCGCAUUUAUUUGACGAAGGCUCCAAAGGAAGCCACGGCUAACUCUGUGCCAGCAGCCGCGGUAAUACAGAGGUGGCAAGCGUUGUUCGGAAUUAUUGGGCGUAAAGAGCACGUAGGUGGGUUUGUAGGUCAGAUGUGAAAGCCUUCUGUUCAACGGAAGAAUUGCAUCUGAAACUACAAGUCUUGAGUGUAGGAGGGGAGAGUGGAAC